Molecule: long non-coding RNA, 939 nt
Organism: Cyprinus carpio (common carp)
Lineage: Eukaryota; Metazoa; Chordata; Actinopteri; Cypriniformes; Cyprinidae
Source: Ensembl
ACCAGUUAUAAAAAAGUGAAUGAGUUAUUAUUAUUUAUGAGUUAUAAAUUUUUUUACCCCCUCACAGUUGUCAUGAAGGGCAAAAUUAGCUAUACAGACCAAAAUCAUUUUUUGAACCAGGCUGUAAACAUGUUUUUUUCUGCUGUAAAGUUGGGCAUUUUAACAUGGGGAGUCUAUGGGACUGACUCCCUUUUGCAGCCAGCCUCAAGCGGCCAGUCGAUGAAUUACAGUUUUAAUCACUUCUUUUUUGUCUUCACGGGAAGAUAGAGUUAGGUUGCGUGGUCGAGCGUGACUCAAAACUUAAGUGUAUAACUUCACCACUGCAUGAAGUACCAAACCUUGAUAGUGUUUCUAAGCAAAUGCUAUGCGUGUGAGCCUGUGAGUGCGUUCUUCUAUUCUUGUAUGCUCAUGCUCGCAUUUGAGGAGGUUGUGGUGUAGAGAGCUGCCGAUUUAUUUUGUAAAUAUUGUGUGAUGAUAUGAAUGUUUUUUUCAGGCCCAGUAGUUCAGUGAGUGACACGGAACACAAACAGAAAAGAAAGAACAAGAAGAUGAGAGAGAUGAAGAUGGAGGAAGAACCACAACCCAGUGAAUCAACACAAGAGAAACUUGUUAAAUGGGGCAGCAUGACUCUUAUAAAACCAGACUUGUCUCAUGAAGCUGAUCGAUCAGAAAGUCAAUCUGAUGUUUCAGAAAGAAGCAAAGAUGAGAUCAUUUGAAUGGCAGCAGACAGAAAACCUGCUCUGAAUAACUCAUUUCAUGAUUUCAAAUCCCUGUAAGAAGUGUCUUUAAUGCGUCUUAUAUUGUGCGCAGUAUUGGGAAGGUUACUUUGGAAAUGUAAUAGGUUACAGAUUACAAGUUACCCUAUUUAAAAUUUAAUUGUAGUGUAACUUUUUCAAUUACUUUAAUAAAGUAAUGUAACUGAUUACUUUUGAUUACUUU